Long non-coding RNA from Pyrgilauda ruficollis (rufous-necked snowfinch), 938 nucleotides. RefSeq lists it as uncharacterized. The record is from RefSeq and is a predicted model, not a curated record. The transcript has 3 exons. Lineage: Eukaryota; Metazoa; Chordata; Aves; Passeriformes; Passeridae.
UGCCCGCCCUCACGGGCCCCGCGGGCCGGGCCGUGCGCCGCAGCACGUACUGCCCCGGCACGGACCGCCCGGCACGGACCGCCCGGCACGGACCGCCGCGGCCCCACGGGCCCCCGGUGGCGGCGGGACGGGCUUUGGGGCCGAGUGUGCUGGGAGGCCGGCCCGGAUGACACUGCCCGGCGCAGCGGCAGCGCGGGACUUCCCUCAACUUGUUCCACGGGGUGACUCGGCGCAGGAGUUCCACUCACUAGGCAGGAACAGAGGAUCCCCUUGCCCCUCACUGCCGGGCCCUCAUCCCUCCCGGGGGUCCUGGACACGCUCCCGGGAGUCCUGACCCCACUCGUGCGGUCCUGGCCCUGCUCUUGGGCAUCCUGGCCCGGCUCCUGGGGGGCCCUGACCCCACUCCUGGGAUCCUGGCCCCAGUCCUAGCAGACUUGGUCCUGCCUCUGGUGGUCCUGGACCCCUUCAGGUGCAGAGUGCAGCACAGUGUCUGUAUUAAAACACAACAGCCCCUGAAAAUCCAUUAAAAUACAUUGCCUGAUGAUUGUGCUUUUGUGGUCACCACAACAUUUCUUAGCGUGCUCCCAUAAAGCCAAAAGAAGAGUGGUGUAGUCCAACUGUGAGUCAAGGAAGGGAAAGAAAGGAAUAAACAGUGACUCUCCACAGAUGGAGACAGAGCAGCCGUGAGGAGGUACCAGCUCUUCCAUAUCAAAAGAACCACUGCUCCUCCAUCACAGCAAGCACGGUCACGGGCGUACUCUGAGCGUGUUGAGGCACUGAAUGGACCAGGUGCACUCAAUAAAAGGCCAGGGACUACAACCAACUCUUUCACCCACUUCUGAGGCUCCGAGUUUACCCCAUGACAAUGGAAGCAGAAGAGAAGGCAUCAGAUCACUGUCCUUACGGAACGUGCAAGCUCUCCUCCAUGGAUGAUAUAG